Molecule: long non-coding RNA, 393 nt
Filed under: Bos taurus (domestic cattle)
Lineage: Eukaryota; Metazoa; Chordata; Mammalia; Artiodactyla; Bovidae
Description: long non-coding RNA NONBTAT000583
Source: RNAcentral
CAUUUCCAGGCUAACCUACUUUUUAUUUAAUGCAAAUUACAGUACCAGUUAACUAUUUCCAAACCAAGUCACAUAGAACGAAAUGUAUUUACAAGGGAAUGGGGAAAGGGAAAAAAAACAUUGAGCAUACUUUUCACAAAAAAGUUUAUAUUUAAAAUGAAAAAAAAAAAUCAGUCACAGAGGCAUUCAAGUAGUAAUAAUGUUAUACAGAUUUUGCUUUUCCUUUAUAUCAAGACAGAUUUGCACAAGUGUUUGCAAUAGUUUGUAUACAACCCACAGUCCUUCUGCCUGUAGACAGAUAUAGUAAGAAAAAAAAAACUUAAAAAUCAACACAAGGAAGUCUACUUUGUCAAGUUAACCCCUUAUGUACUGGUUGUCAUUUUGCUUUUAUUG